This 253-nucleotide ribosomal RNA is filed under the name uncultured bacterium. RNAcentral's name for it is "partial 16S ribosomal RNA". It matches the Rfam family "Bacterial small subunit ribosomal RNA", at positions 524 to 776 of the family's 1533-position model. The record is from RNAcentral.
UACGUAGGGUGCAAGCGUUGUCCGGAAUCAUUGGGCGUAAAGAGCGCGUAGGCGGCCGUGUAAGUCCGCUCUGAAAGUCAAAGGCUCAACCUUUGAAAGCGGGUGGAUACUGCACGGCUAGAGUCCGGAAGAGGCGAGUGGAAUUCCUGGUGUAGCGGUGGAAUGCGCAGAUAUCAGGAGGAACACCAACGGCGAAGGCAGCUCGCUGGGACGGUACUGACGCUGAGGCGCGAAAGCGUGGGGAGCGAACAGG